GAUGAACGCUGGCGGCGUGCCUAAUACAUGCAAGUCGAGCGACAGGACGAGAAGCUCUCUUCUCUGCUGUUAGCGGCGGACGGGUGAGUAACACGUGGAUAACCUACCUCUUUGACUGGGAUAACUUCGGGAAAUCGUAGCUAAUACCAGCUAAUAUUUUGAACCGCAUGGUUCAAAAGUGAAAGACGGUCUUGCUGUCACUUAUAGAUGGAUCCGCGCUGCAUUAGCUAGUUGGUAAGGUAACGGCCUACCAAGGCAACGAUGCGUAGCCGACCUGAGAGGGUGAUCGGCCACACUGGAACUGAGACACGGUCCAGACUCCUACGGGAGGCAGCAGUAGGGAAUCUUCGGCAAUGGGCGAAAGCCUGACGGAGCAAUACCGCGUGAGUGAAGAAGGUCUUCGGAUCGUAAAACUCUGUUAUUAGGGAAGAACAGAAGUGUAAGUAACUGUGCACGUCUUGACGGUACCUAAUCAGAAAGCAACGGCUAACUACGUG
RNAcentral lists this ribosomal RNA (497 nucleotides) under uncultured bacterium. RNAcentral describes it as "partial 16S ribosomal RNA". It matches the Rfam family "Bacterial small subunit ribosomal RNA", at positions 28 to 507 of the family's 1533-position model. The record is from RNAcentral.